Long non-coding RNA from Populus euphratica (Euphrates poplar), 731 nucleotides. RefSeq lists it as uncharacterized. NCBI's taxonomy places the organism in Eukaryota, Viridiplantae, Streptophyta, Magnoliopsida, Malpighiales, Salicaceae. The record is from RefSeq and is a predicted model, not a curated record. The transcript has 2 exons.
CGUGAAGGGCAAACUCAUUUACCUUGCUAAUCACCAAACCAUUGGCUAGUAACAUCUUAGACUCCAUAAAACAAUGAUUUGAACUUUGAAGUAGUCAAUUAUCAUCAAUCUGUUUCCCAUUUGGACACUCCAAGUUAUCGUUCUGGCUGCCCUCGAUACCACCAUGACACCAUCACCCAUGCUUCAAUAGCCUGAGAAAUGGUCUUCACUGUGAAUGUAGCUUUUUACAACGCCAGCUAUAACCUGUCACUCUCUGUGCGGCUGGGGAAUCAAUGAGAGGUUGAAAUGAGCUUUUUCCAAUUUGAUAUCAUAAAAAAAAAAUGGUGAGGUUUCAAUUAGGUUAAGAUCUUUACUCAACAACAAUCACAACUCCAUCUUGCUUUGCUAACAAAAGAAGCUUUGCCUUUUCAUGAGCCUCUCACUGUCAUUGUUAUGUGCUGCCUAUUCUUCCGGUGUUCAACACCAAAAACCUUUCACCUUACCCCUAACACACAACUUACAGCUUCAUGAUUGCUUCAGCUUUUUUCCUUCUGGGAAAAUGAUGGAUUUCACUGGCUGCUUGUUCUACUGAAAAGGGAGUCUUCCGAGGAAUCAGAGGUGGAGACAGAUGCUUUAUAUCUAAAAAUUCAUCGUUACCGGUGGUUGCCUCAAAGGCCGGCAAUUUAAGCAUCGCAUAAAAGAAAGACUAACGAAGUUACAAAAUGUUUUUUCGAAACACUUCAAUAAAAUUU